GCAUUGGUGAUUCAGUGGUUGAAUUCUCACCUUCCACGCAGGAGAUCCAGGUUUGAUUCCUGGCCAAUGUG
RNAcentral lists this transfer RNA (71 nucleotides) under Loxodonta africana (African savanna elephant). It matches the Rfam family "tRNA". Rfam says of the family: Transfer RNA (tRNA) molecules are approximately 80 nucleotides in length. Their secondary structure includes four short double-helical elements and three loops (D, anti-codon, and T loops). Lineage: Eukaryota; Metazoa; Chordata; Mammalia; Proboscidea; Elephantidae. The record is from Rfam by way of RNAcentral.